Molecule: transfer RNA, 74 nt
Filed under: Gehyra sp. MPH-2011
Lineage: Eukaryota; Metazoa; Chordata; Lepidosauria; Squamata; Gekkonidae
Description: tRNA-Asn
Source: RNAcentral
UAGAUUGAAGCCCGCUGGAUUGGGUGCCUGGUUGUUAACUGGGCAUUUUACGGGAUCGAGGCCCGUCGGUCUAG